Molecule: RNA transcript, 3891 nt
Organism: Mus musculus (house mouse)
Lineage: Eukaryota; Metazoa; Chordata; Mammalia; Rodentia; Muridae
Gene: Ipo4
Gene name: importin 4
Exons: 30
Source: RefSeq, marked validated
GCUGUCGGAGUCUCCACGUGCCGAUCCUCCCCCUCCCCACCCGGCCCUGUAGCAGCGGCGGCGUCGGCGGCGGCUCGGCAGCUGCCAUGGAGCCUGCGGGUUUGGAACAGAUCCUGAAGGAGCUGCUGCUGCCCGACACGGAGCGCAUCCGCCGGGCUACGGAGCAGCUCCAGACCAUCCUUCGGGACCCUGCUGCCUUGCCCGCACUCUUCGAUCUGCUGGCAACAGCGACCGACUCUCAGAUCCGCCAGUUUGCAGCGGUCCUGACCCGCAGAAGGCUGAACAAUCGCUGGCGACGCCUGGCACCUGAGCAGAGGGAGAGCCUCAAGUCCCUGGUCCUGACAGCACUGCAGAAAGAGACAGUGCAUUCUGUGAGUGUCAGCUUGGCCCAGCUCUCAGCCACCAUUUUUCGAAAGGAAGGCCUACAAGGAUGGCCUCAGUUCAUGAACCUUCUUCAGCACAGCACUCAUAGUUCCCAUAGCCCCGAGAAAGAGGUGGGACUUCUGCUGCUGAGUGUGGUGGUGUCUUCCCAGCCCGAGGCAUUCCAUGCCCACCAGCACGAGCUGCUUCAGCUUCUGAAUGAGACGCUCAGUGACGUCAGCUUUCCCGGAGUGCUCUUCUACUCCCUGCGCACUCUGACUGCCAUCGCCCGCUAUGUCAGGCCGGAUGAUGUGUCUCUUGCACGGAUGUUGGUGCCCAAAGUCGUUACGGCACUGAGGACUCUGAUCCCCUUAGAUGAGGUAAAGGCCUGUGAGGCCCUGGAGGCCCUGGAUGAAAUGCUGGAGACAGAGUUGCCCAUCAUCAACCCCCACCUCUCUGAGGUCCUCACGUUUUGCCUGGAGGUGGCUAAGAAUGUGGCCCUUGGCGAACCACUCCGCGUACGUGUUCUCUGCUGCCUCACUUUCUUGGUCAAAGUCAAAAGUAAGGCCUUACUAAAGAACCGCCUCGUGCCUCCCUUGCUGCACGCCCUUUUCCCCCUCAUGGCUGCUGAGCCACCCAUGGGCCAACUGGAUCCUGAAGAUCAAGAUUCGGAUGACGAUGACUUGGAGAUCGGGCUGAUGGGGGAGACUCCCAAGCACUUUGCUGUACAGGUUGUGGACAUGCUGGCACUACAUCUUCCCCCUGAGAAGCUCUGUCCCCAUGUGAUGCCCAUGCUGGAAGAAGCCUUGCGGAGCGAGGACCCAUACCAGCGCAAAGCAGGAUUCCUGGUGUUGGCUGUGCUGUCUGAUGGUGCAGGCGACCACAUCAGGCAGAGACUGCUGUACCCACUGCUACAGAUUGUGUGCAAGGGCCUGGAUGACCCCUCACAGAUUGUUCGUAAUGCUGCUCUGUUCGCCCUGGGCCAGUUUUCAGAGAACUUACAGCCCCAUAUCAGCAGCUACUCUGAGGAGGUGAUGCCCCUUCUCCUCUCCUACCUGAAGUCAGUGCCGAUGGGAAACACACACCACCUGGCCAAGGCCUGCUAUGCUCUGGAGAAUUUUGUGGAGAACCUAGGGCCCAAAGUGCAGCCCUACCUUCCGGAGCUUAUGGAAUGUAUGCUGCAGCCAUUGAAGAACCCCAGCAAAGCCCGGACCAAGGAGCUAGCUGUGAGCGCCAUAGGGGCCAUUGCCACAGCGGCCCAGGAUUCCCUGCUGCCCUACUUCCCUACCAUCAUGGAUCUUCUCCGGGAGUUCUUGUUGACAGGCCACGAAGACUUUCAUCUUGUGCAGAUCCAGAGCCUGGAGACCCUGGGAGUGCUAGCACGAGCCCUGGGAGAGUCCAUGAAGCCCCUGGCUGAGGAAUGCUGUCAGCUUGGGCUAGGGUUAUGCAUCCAUAUAGAUGACCCUGACGUGAGGCGCUGCACGUACAGCCUGUUUGCAGCCUUAUCAGGGUUAAUGGGAGAGGGCUUGGGACCCUACCUGCCUCAGAUUACCACGCUCAUGCUGCUGUCGCUGCGCUCCACUGAGGGCAUUGUGCCACAGUAUGACGGGAUCAGCUCCUUCCUGCUGUUUGAUGACGACAGCGAAGCAGAAGAGGAGGAGGAGCUCAUGGAUGAAGAUAUGGAAGAGGAGGGGGAUGACUCUGAGAUCUCGGGGUAUAGUGUGGAGAAUGCCUUCUUUGAUGAGAAAGAAGACACCUGCACCGCCCUGGGGGAGAUCUCCAUGAACACCUGUGUGGCUUUUCUCCCAUUCAUGGAUGCCACCUUCGAUGAAGUAUACAAACUGCUGGAGUGCCCUCAUAUGAAUGUGCGGAAGUCAGCUUACGAAGCGCUGGGACAGUUCUGCUGUGCACUGCAUAAGGCCUCUCAGAGAAGCUCCUCAGAUCCCAGCAGCAGUCCCGUUCUGCAGACCUCCCUGGCUCGAGUGAUGCCAGCUUACAUGCAGGCCGUGAAAGUAGAAAGGGAGCGCCCAGUGGUGAUGGCCGUGCUGGAGUCCCUGACAGGGGUGCUGCGCACCUGCGGCAGCCUUGCACUGCAGCCUCCUGGGCGGCUCAGUGAGCUCUGCAACGUGCUCAAGGCUGUGCUGCAGAAAAAGGAGCAGGUAGGGGACCUCAAGCUCAGCUGAAUCCGUCUUCCACAGACGGCCUGUCAGGACGCCGAGGAGGAUGAUGACGAAGAUGAUGACCAGGCAGAGUAUGACGCCAUGUUACUAGAACAUGCUGGAGAGGCCAUUCCCGUCCUGGCAGCCACAGCUGGAGGACACGCCUUCGCUCCCUUCUUUGCCACGUUCUUGCCAUUGUUGCUGUGUAAGACGAAACAGAGCUGUACAGUGGCAGAGAAGUCCUUUGCUGUGGGAACCCUGGCAGAGUCCAUUCAGGGUCUAGGGACCGCCUCAGCCCAGUUUGUGUCUCGGCUGUUCCCUGUGCUGUUAAACAAUGCCCGGGAAGCAGACCCUGAGGUGCGGAGCAAUGCCAUCUUUGGGUUGGGCGUACUGGCAGAGCAUGGCGGCUGCCCUGCUCAGGACCACUUCCCUAAGCUACUGGGCCUCCUUUUGCCCCUGCUGGCAAGGGAGCGACAUGAUCGAGUCCGUGAUAACAUCUGCGGGGCUCUUGCCCGUGUACUGAUGGCCAGUCCAGUAGGAAAAACGGAGCCCCAGGUGCUGGCUACCCUGCUACGUGCCCUGCCCCUGAAGGAAGACAUGGAGGAGUGGCUCACUAUAGGUCACCUCUUCAGCUUCCUGCACCAGAACAAUCCUGAGCAGGUUGUGGAUGUGGCUUCAGAACUCCUGCGCAUCUGCAGCCUGAUCCUGCCGGACAACCGGAUCCCUCCAGACACCAAGGCGGCCCUGCUGCUGCUCCUGACGUUCCUGGCCAAGCAGCACACCGACAGCUUCCACACAGCCCUGGGCUCUCUGCCAAAUGAUAAAGCUCAGGAACUUCAGGCCAUGAUGGGCCUCACUUAAGACUAUAGGCCACAGGGGCCAGGGGUCCGAAGACCGAGGUCAGCCCUGGUCCAGUUCACCUUACCAAAGACUCUAUCCAUUGAAGUCAACUGUGCUGUUUUAACAGGGGUGUCUCUGGGGCUGGACAUCAUACUAUAAUAAAGCAGAGCUGUGACAUCAUACUAUAAUAAAGCAGAGCUGUGACAUCAUACUAUAAGGAAGCAGCUGUGACGUCAUACUAUAAGAAAGCAGAGCUGUGACGUCAUACUAUAAUAAAGGUGGCCUGUCUUCUGCUUGGACACUAGCUUUCUGCACAAAGGCUAGAGGUAUGUGUUCAGAGCUGAGACUGGGAAGGGAGGGGCUGCGCUGAGGACAUACUGUCCCUGCAGAAGUCAGAAUGCGGUCCACCCCCACUGGACGGCUCAGACAGCCUUGAGCUCCAGAGGUUUAAUUCCCUCAUUCCCUUGCACAUCUGGCUGGCACACACACAUAAUUUAAAAUUAAAAAUAAAUCUUGAAAAAAAAAAAGAGGC